CCUACGGGUGGCAGCAGUGGGGGAUAUUGCACAAUGGGGGAAACCCUGAUGCAGCGACGCCGCGUGGGUGAAGAAGCGCCUCGGCGCGUAAAGCCCUGUCAGCAGGGAAGAAAAUGACGGUACCUGAAGAAGAAGCCCAGGCUAACUACGUGCCAGCAGCCGCGGUAAUACGUAGGGGGCAAGCGUUAUCCGGAUUGACUGGGUGUAAAGGGGGCGCAGACGGCGAUGCAAGCCAGGCGUGAAAGCCCGGGGCCCAACCCCGGGACUGCUCGUGGAACUGCGUGGCUAGAGUGCAGGAGGGGCAGGCGGAAUUCCUGGUGUAGCGGUGAAAUGCGUAGAUAUCAGGAGGAACACCGGUGGCGAAGGCGGCCUGCUGGACUGCAACUGACGUUGAGGCCCGAAAGCGUGGGGAGCAAACAGGAUUAGAUACCCUAGUAGUC
This 440-nucleotide ribosomal RNA is filed under the name uncultured bacterium. RNAcentral's name for it is "partial 16S ribosomal RNA". It matches the Rfam family "Bacterial small subunit ribosomal RNA", at positions 338 to 795 of the family's 1533-position model. The record is from RNAcentral.